CUAUUUCAGCUCUCCGCCGCCGCUGCUUGUCGUUGCCGCCGUUCGGAUCACUGGGAACAUGGCAGUGAUCACCGGAACCACCAUCGGAGUUACCGUUAUUUCAAUUCAGCCGUUCGUCCUUGUUUGGGAUCGAGUUCCGGGUCUUGAUUGCUGAGUUCUAUGGCUGUAGCAUACAACAUCAAGGUGCUGUGUCGUCACCGAAGCUGCUGUUGCUCCAUUUUCUCAAUUAUUUGUAAGCCCAGAUUGAGCUAAGGCUAUGUUUAGAGGUUGUGGCUGCUGCGGGGACAGUCGGUAUUGAUGUUGCUGCUGUGGAAUAAGAAUAAAAAUGUAGUUUGUCGCGUAGUUGGAUCGCGAAUGAGCUUUACCUUUUCAGGAACCAGAUGAAGAAGUAUUAAGAAGAGUUAUGCUGCAUUUGGUUUAUAUGCUGUUGUAUUAAUUAGAUUAUUUUCUUCCCUCGUCUUUGUUAUUACAAGUUUGUAAGAGGGAUAGGAAUUGUAUGUUUUAUAUGUACAAUAUAUUGAAUUAUUAUGUAAGGAGUCUUGUAUAUGAAUCUAUGCCUGUUUGUAUUUCCUUAAGAUAAAGUAUUUAUUUCUGGUUUUU
Arachis ipaensis is the source of this 600-nucleotide non-coding RNA. NCBI's taxonomy places the organism in Eukaryota, Viridiplantae, Streptophyta, Magnoliopsida, Fabales, Fabaceae. The record is from RefSeq and is a predicted model, not a curated record.